UUUGUUUGAUGGUCUGGAGGUAGUCCGAAUGCUUCUGUUAUCACCGACUGAUGAUGAAAUGGAUGGUGAAGGCUUGGCUCAGUUGUCGGAAAGAGUGAAUAGAAUUUGGCUUCAGACUGAAAUACUAAUGUCGGGCCGUCCCCUUCAAAAAGAAAGGGAAGACUCGGCACAGGAUAGCGUCAGAAGCAUCCUGAAGAAGAAUGACUGC
This 208-nucleotide long non-coding RNA is filed under the name Elaeis guineensis (African oil palm). Its description in RNAcentral is "long non-coding RNA (EGUI_LNC013745)". The record is from RNAcentral. Lineage: Eukaryota; Viridiplantae; Streptophyta; Magnoliopsida; Arecales; Arecaceae.